This 405-nucleotide ribosomal RNA is filed under the name uncultured bacterium. Its description in RNAcentral is "bacterial SSU rRNA". It matches the Rfam family "Bacterial small subunit ribosomal RNA", at positions 355 to 776 of the family's 1533-position model. The record is from RNAcentral.
UAGGGAAUUUUGCGCAAUGGGCGAAAGCCUGACGCAGCAACGCCGCGUGAUUGAUUAAGCCCUUCGGGGUGUAAAGAUCUGUCAGUGGGGACGAAACUUGACGGUACCCACAGAGGAAGCACCGGCUAACUCCGUGCCAGCAGCCGCGGUAAUACGGAGGGUGCGAGCGUUGUCCGGAAUCAUUGGGCGUAAAGAGUUCGUAGGUGGCACGUUAAGUCUGGUGUUAAAUGCAGAAGCUCAACUUCUGUUCGGCACUGGAUACUGGCAAGCUUGAAUGCGGUAGAGGUAAAGGGAAUUCCUGGUGUAGCGGUGAAAUGCGUAGAUAUCAGGAGGAACAUCGGUGGCGUAAGCGCUUUACUGGGCCGUAAUUGACACUGAGGAACGAAAGCCGGGGUAGCAAAUGGG